Molecule: RNA transcript, 9364 nt
Organism: Belonocnema kinseyi
Lineage: Eukaryota; Metazoa; Arthropoda; Insecta; Hymenoptera; Cynipidae
Exons: 14
Source: RefSeq, a predicted model, not a curated record
GUUGAAAAGAAUCUUCAUUUUUAAUCGCUCAAUGCUACUGUUUAUUAAAUUCAGAAAGGCAUUUACGUAUGCAGUUUAUAAAAAGAUGUUGAUAUUUUAUUCAAUAACAGUAUGCUUUUCAAAUUCGUUAAAAUAAGUGCAUGUAAAAUAACUACAUAACAAAUGAUGCGAUAAAAUAUGACUGGAAAUCAUAACAUUGGAUACGUUAUGAACUGAUAUGAGCAAAGAAUUUUGUUGAAAUGAGUGGUAUCUGAAAAUGUUAAUUUCUACUUACCGCAUCUCUGUUUCUGUCUACAACAUAUAGCUAGUAACUUAAUCAGUUACACUGGAUUGAAGAUUCCAAGACUUUUCUGACUUCAAACAAGGACAGAAAAAAGGUAAAAAUCAAGUCCGUGAAAACGUUUUAAUGGAUUUAUCUACUCAACUCAUGCAGGGAAGUUCAAAUGACGGAUUAGUACGAAAGCAUGUUAAACCAUAUCCUUUUGCCUUCAUAACGGCGUUGAAAAGGAAAUUGGAAAUAAGUGGAUAUUCUGACAACUGUAAAAAAGCACGUGAGCCCUCAAAAAAUAAACAAGAGGUAAUAAACUUAGAUGAGUUAAAUGUUAAUUUAAAUCAAAGGCAAACAUUUUCUCAAUCCAAUAAAAAAAUGGAUCUCAUAAAACCAUUAAAAGUGCCAGAUUUAAAAGUUACUCCAAAGAUUUUAGAUUACUCUAUGUGUGAAAGUUCAUCGUUGAGUGAAGCGUCUCUAAACAAAUUUGAUAUGCUUUCAAAGGAUUACAUACCAAAACAAGGAAAAGCAGCUAAAACUUUGGAUAGGGUUCAACGCAAGCUAGAUUUCUCAUCCUCAAAUCUGUCUCUAUUAAAUGAUGAGAAUGUCGAAGGUCUAGAAACAUUAGAUUUUUCUGUUCAACCUAAUGUAGUCAAAAAGAAAGAUUACUUAAGAGACAACUCUAAAGAAAAAGAGAACAGGUCUAAGAGGAUUAAAAGGGAUGACUCGAGUAUUUCUAAAGCUGAUAGCUCUUUAAAAAACAUAUCGAAAAGAAUAAAAAAUAUGGAGCAUGUCUCUAGGAAAGAUGUUUCUGGAUCAGUAGUAAAGAAAAUCAGAAACGAAAGCUUCCUCUAUAGUUUACCUAGAGAAACUGAUUUUGGACUCAAAAAACAAAAAGCUAAAAAUUCUGCAACUUCUAUUAUGAAAAAGGAUGAAGAUAAAACACAUCGCUGCUUAAAUACUCAACAUUAUAGAUCCGGAAGAGAUAAACAUUUGGAAUUGAAAGGAAGAUCUUUUAGUAAAGACUCGAUAAAUUUACCUGAAAGGAAUGCAGUUUCACAAGAUAAAACUUCAACCACUUGUUCGGAUUUAUUAGAAGAAGUAGAUGUUUCAUACAAUUCACAUACCAGUUUUACAAAAUAUCAAAUGUAUAGUGAACCAUGUGAAAUACCUUCGAAAGUAUCUAAAGUGAAGGAAGUUGAAAAAUCAGUAAGAAAUCUAGUUAACCAGUCGAAUCAGCAAAAUAUUCACAGAAAUUUAGCGACAGAAGAUUUCUCUUUACAAAACAAUUCAAACAAUGAAAACUCUAAAAUUCAUAGCGUUACAUUAGAUCGGAUUCAAGGAGCUAUGAAUUCUGAAUCGAAAAGAUCCAUAAACACCUCAUUAUCAGAAAUUCUUUUUGAUCCAAGAAGAAUUUCAUUCAGAGAUGAUAGUUAUUUGCAGCAGGAAGAUUUUUCGAAUUUGGUUACUCCUGACAUAAAUCUAAUGCUUCGGUCGAAAAGAAGAAAGCAGUUUCUGCAAGAAAAUUCCAAAAAUGAAGUCUAUAAAUGUUUAAAGAACAAACCAAAAGUCAUAGAGGACGAUAAUGGAGAAGGAAUUCGAUUGUUGCAUCCUAAUGCCUUGCAUAUGCAAUUUCAAGCGGAAUUAAACCUUCUUGAGUCAUUUAAUGAAUCUCUUAGUAAAAUUAUGGAUGUUGAAAGUAGCAUUUAUAAUGCAAAGCAUGCUGAAGACCAAAAACUGCUGCAAAAAGAAAAGUUAGCAAAGGAAGAGUUCAGAAAACAAUUAGAUGCUUUGCAAACUGAGAAAGAAGUAGAAUUGGAUAAUAUGGAGGCUUUAACCAUUAAACCAGCAUUUUAUGGCGAAGGAACAUGUUUAUUGGUCCCAAAAGCUUGCGAUGGAUUUAAAGCAGCAAAAAAAGACAGGAUCGCCAGUCAAAAAGAUGUUCUUAGUCAAGUAACAUCAAAACGAAAUUCUUUUGAAAAAAUGGAUAAUAAUGUAAACAAAAGUUUUAAGUCAUUAGUGAAAGUAGCGGAAGUUCAAACUCAAACUGCAAAUGAUAUUGCCACACAAACAGACUUACAAUUUUGUAAAUCUAAAAUUCUUAGUAGACUCGAAGAACUUUCUGGUAUAACUUAUCAGAGAGGCCCUUCAAGCACAUGGGACAUACCUCGAUUGUCUUUGGAGUCUUUGGGACAGGAGGAGGAUAUCGGUCAAGUAGACGACAUUUCUUUGACAAGUAAAAUAAGGGGAAUGUCGGAAAUAAGCUUACAUGAAACAACGUCAUCUAUAAAAACCGAAACUGGUACUGAAAUUAGUAUAUCUACAAGAGACGUAACUUGUUCAUUUAAUAAAGAUUUGGAACUUGAGAUGGCUCAACUCAUACAAGACGAAAAACAAAGAUAUGAUAAAAUUAAAAUGAUUUUUAAAUCACGUGAAAAAAUACUUAAUGAUCGGACGAAAAAGUUAGUUAAAUUGGAGGAGCAAAAACGGCAGUUAAGAGAUACUGGUCAAGACAGUCGAAUAAGCUCUGUGAAGAAGAAGCAACGUGCUUUAUUAUUGAAGUUGCAACAGGAAAAGGACGAAAUGAAUAGGCUAAAAGAACUUCACAAGAUUGCAAGUCAGGAGCGAAAACUAAUGUUAAAAAAACAGAGAGAUAUGUUCAAUCCUGAAAUGUCGACAAAGAAUAUUUUAACGAAACUCAAAAGAAGUGCAGACAGCCAAUCUCCUCGACGCUUAUCAGGGCCAAUGAAAGGUUACGAUAUCCGCAGCAACAGUUCUAUGAGUUCUUUAGUUGAUUCUGACAAAUCUCAAAUAGAUCGUUCACAAGUCGACGUGAAACUUCAUACGUUUAAUAUUGGUUCAAAAAAAGACGAUGAACAUUAUGUAAGACUGCAUUUUAAUGCUCUUACAUCAGAGAAAUCAGGCACGAGCAAGUUUGAAACUAUUAAAGGUGGAAAAGUUAGCGCAUCGGCUAGCUUUUGUAAACCUCAUAUGAUAAAAGCUGUAAAAAAAAGCAACUAUGAUAUUACGUCUCGAAAAUUUGAAGAAAAAAUGCCGAGGGCCGAUAUUUUACGUCAAAUUGAAUUACAUUCUCAAUUGCAACAAGGUUCUAUUGUUGAUUUACCUGUACAGAAUCAGGAAACGAAGAAUGUUGGCUGGCCACCGACGUAUCAAGAAUAUGACACCGAUUGUAUUAGAUCCAAAGAAACAAAAAGAUUUUCAUCUAUAGACGAAAUUUCACAAAUUAAUGGUAAAUGUUCAAAAAAAAUCGAAAAGUCGCUAUUAGUAGAUAAAGAUGAUUUAAAGAAGGUUCAGUGCGUUUCUGAUACCAUGUCUAGUUCCAAAAGGAAGGGAACUAAAAGUCAUAAAACAAAGUCGACAUCUAAUGUAGUUAAGGAAAAUUUUUUAAGAUCAGAGAGUGACAGUCAAGUUUGGGAAGAGGUAAAUGGACCUCAUAAUAAACGAUCAAAACUACAAGAAGAGCAAUCGAACAAUAAUUACCGAAAUUCCGUUUUGGAAGAGCUAGACUCAAAUGAAAGUCAAAGCUCUUUACGAGCCCUAUUGAAGCACUCGAAAGCAGCAAAAGAUAAAAAUUAUCAACUUUUAAGAGACUUGACUAGUGAUCGAGAAAAAAACGAAGAGCAUAAAGUUUUCGAAGCACUGGAUAAUAAAGAUAGACAAUUGGAAGACUGUUCUCAAAUGGAAGAUAAAGGUAGUGCAAAUAUGGGCAAUAUAUCAACUAGAUCGCAAGUUAGCACCUUAACAAUUUCUCAUCACAGUUCUGGUGAUAGUGAACAAAAUUACUCUAGAUCCGUUGUUAUCAGUUCACAAAAUCAUCGCUUUGAAACAUCCAAGAAACUCGAACAAAUUUUAAAUGCACGGGAAGCUGCACUUGCAUCGCGCAGAACUUGUGUGGAAGAGUGGAUCGCUUGGCAUACUAGACUUCGGGAAGAAGAAAAUCGUGUUGCACGUAUGGAACAGACUGCUUACAAUGUCGUUAAUGCUGCCUCAAAAGCUCUGUCCUGCCAUGACACUACGGUUUCAUCCGAUAUGAGCGACGUAGAAGGACGAAUAGAGGUUUUGGCACAAAAGCUAUCACAACGACGGACGGAAAUGGCCAUGCUAAAGAAAGAAGAAAAGAGGCAAGCGAAGCAGAGACUCAGAGAUAUGGAAGCGAGUUUGCUUGAUCAAAUUAAGAAAUAUGAUGCAACGAUCCAUGAGAUGCGCAAAACAUUAGAAACGAAAAAGGAAUCUGUUAGGAACACCGAGAAAUCAGCUAUCGAAUCGAAGUCAGUAAUUGAUUUCAAAGUACCUGAAAUUCCGAUCAAAAGGAUGCAUGAAAUUUACAGGAGUUCCGAUUUAUUGCAGUCUAUAUCGACACCUGAUUUAAUUAAAAAUAAGGCACGAGAAGGGAAAAGCUUAAGCACAAAUAUUUGCGAAAAUGCAUGUAAUAAGGACACAGUGCAUUUAAAGUUACAAGAGAACGUUGAGAGUAAACAGUUAAUUUUUGAAGAUGACAGUAGGAACGAGCCAAGGCAAGAUUAUACUAUGUUUAAUGAUUUUGAAAAGAAUAAUGAAGUAAAUUCCUCUAUUUCGAGACAGGAUUCUGUCCUGAACAAUGCUUUAUUUCAACAAUCUAUCAUAAAUGAGUCAAAAUCAAUCAAAAGUUCAUGUUCACAAAUCAGCGUUACAUCGAAGAGUCUGUACAUGCCAGAAAUUUCAGAAGCUAUCGACAGUAUUAGUAAUCCGACAGAGCCGGAAAUUAACGUGGCCUCUGUUGCAGAAGCCGUUCAAAGUUAUGAUGCAGAAAAUGUUUCUUUGUCGUUUUCCAGAAAAUUAGAUUACAUUGAUUUAAACAGCCAAAAUUUGAACGACGAUAUUAUCACUCUUGAAAAUGAUCUCAAAAGGCUCUCAGAAAUGAUGUUGCAGAUUAGUAACAAGUCAGUUAGUAAAGGGAAACAGCGUGAUGAGGAAGAAGAUUAUUAUUCUGAAAAAAGGACUUCUGAAGAUAUAUCGGAAUAUUUACCUGAGACUGAAUCAAUCGAACACCAAUCGAGCAAAUGCUUUUUAAAACACUUAUUAGGUGACCAAGGCGAAACUAUUAAGGGUUCGAAGAACAGUGAUAAUAAUGUAGAGGAUGACGUUAAUGAUGAUGCAGACAGAUUCCGAAAAAUGUCUGUCAAUUAUACUUCUUUGAUAAGCUCUACUCAGAAGAUUGAUUAUAAUGCAAGAAGUAAAGAAAUGCUUAAUGAAAUUGAAAAAUGUAUUAUAUCUGAUCACAUUAAGUCAUUGGAAAUUCAGUCUCAGCUCUCUGAUCAUACUUUGGAAGAAGAAAUGCAUAAUUUAAGCGAUGAAAGUCAAGUAUUCUCGAAUGAUUUAACUUCAUUGGAUGGAAACAUUAAAUUCGUAUCUGAAAUUAUAUCGAAACCUUCUCAAAAUGAAAAUACUUUUGAUAAAUCUUUAAAUGAUAUAAAAGAAAAGGAGCCGCUGAAAUAUUGUGCAGAUAACACAACAAAAUCAAGAACAAUAUCAGGGAGUUACCAAAAUUCUGCAUGUGAAUCGCCUGAAAACUGUACAACACUAGACAAUAGCAAAAUGAAUGUUAUAAACAUAAUGAUAGAUGACUUAGACAUACCUGCAAGCACUGUUUUAAAUGAAGAGAUAAAUAUCCAGAAAAAUGAUCUUCUUCAAAGCACAAUGCAAGUAUCAGAUGGCACAGGAGGAAGAGAAGCGGGAGGUUAUUCCACUCAGGUUCAAGUUGAAAGCUCAACUGAUAAGCCCCAAUAUGAAUAUAUAGAAGAACACAUCGAAAUUGAAAAGGCAUCUGUGUAUGAUGAUUGGGAAAUUUCCGAUUCCUUUGAAUUGCACAAUAUGAAAAAAAAAACUAAGCGUCAAAAGGAAGAUGAUAAUUUAUCAUGUUUAAUCGUAGUUCCAGAAGAUAAGCAACAGACGAAUUUUGAAAAAAAGGAAAAUCCUUCAAUCGAUAAAAAAAUCUUAGGUCAUCAUGAUAAUCUAACUGCAGAAAUUGAUGUUAUUGGAAACGACAUAAUGUUUAUUCCUUGGGGCGAAUCUGCAAAUAACGAAACACUUGAUGUGAGUUUUGAAAACGUAGAGCUUUAUGGUUGUUUGGAUAGAACCAAAUCUAUGGAUAAAGAGGAUGAAGAGCAAACCAACUUAACAAAGAAGCAGAUGAAUGAUCAAGAAAAUUUAAGUUCUGAGUGGAGGAAAAAAAUGAAACAGGAAAACUGUAAGGACCUUAGGAUAAAAGAGAAAGGGGAAAAUGAGUGUAAAUCAAUAAGUUUCCACGAUUCUCCAGGUACUAUAAGUAAAGAUGCUUCAUCUAUAUAUACAUCUAUAAAUUCGAUGCAACAAAUAAGAAGUAUAGUUGACAGCCAUCAACGUAAAGCAAAUGUCAACUCCCGAUUACAUGAAGCAACACCAUCAAUCAACAUUUGCUUAGAAACAGAAUGUUUGGAAGGCCAUGAUUUGAUUAAACCGAAACUCCAGUUGAGAGUCAUGUUAUCUGAUUGUUUUAAAACUGCGAGUGAAGAUAAUACUAUACAAGAAAAUAUUUUGAAGGAAAGGGUGAAAACUAGUGAAUGCUUAAGAUCCUUAGAAGAGCAAGAUAGUUCCGAAGGUGAGCAGCUUGACAAUUUAGUCGAAGUAGUUGAGGAUAAAUUGGAAACUUUGGAAACGGUGAAUGAUGGCUUUAGUUGCAAUUCAGAAAAGUUGGAAGAAAUAGGGAAAAAUAUUACAGAUAAUCAAAAAUUAUUCUCUGUGUUAAGGAAUCCACAAUAUGAAGAUAUUUCUGAGGAAAGCCUUGAAGUUUCUUUAAUUUCAGAAAAUACUGAAUCGCUUACCCCGCAAAAAGCGAUUCCCAAAAAAUAUAAAGCGGUUCGUAAAGCAGAAGAUGUUGUAAAAAUUCUUGAUGAAAUGUUAGCCAAAUCUGUAUCAGAAAUUGAUGAACUAACUGUGAAUCUUGAUAUCGAGUCACAACAACAUCAAUUAUCAAAAAACGAUUACGAAAGGAAAGCAGUUGAAGAGCAGGAAGAUAUCAGUGUAAAAGUUAGUGAAACUGAUGAUUCCUCUGAGUCCAGCGAAAGUGAUUUACAAAGAAAUACUUUUGAAAAUUCAGUAGCCUUACAAAAAGAUUCCAAUGAUUCAAGGUUAGAUAUUGACGCUUUGGAUGAUGACUUGCUAAGUGGCGUUUCGAUUCAUCAAAAUUUUGAAUCUAAUACGGAUUUUCCUGUAACACCAAUUGUUACGAACGCAGAGCAGGACAUCACAGCUAUGAUAGAUAAGUUAAAAGCCUCACUCACACAACCGGGUUUGGAAGUUGCUGAGUUGGAUGCAACGCUACUACGGAUAGAACAAUUACAAAUAGAGCUUGAGAUUAAGAUCCUAGAGGCUGAAGAAGUGUCUUACUAUGUUCGAGAGAUUCCUAAUAAACCGCCGCCUCCCUAUACACCUCCGGGCGCUGGUAUGGUUGCUGCAUCUCACAGUUCUCCUUCGCGUCCACCUGAAGUUAUUCCCAGUAAUGUAGACGAUCUUACAGCUUUUACAGAAAAAGCUACGUCUUUUAUAUUUAACGUGAAGAAAUGUGGUGAAGAUUUCGGGAGUUUAGAGGCUCCUCCCGAAAUAUGGGACAUAAGCAAAGACAGCGAAGCACUAAAAAAAGACAGAAGAAUUUAUAAUGCAUUUCUUUUUGACCUCUGCAAAGAGACUAUUACAGAAGUUUAUCGUAUAGAGCAUGAGCAGCCUGGCCCAAGUUGGAUGCGACCAAGUGUAAAAACGACACCAGUAAUAAAGGCUCCCAAUAACGUUAAUGAUUUAACCGAAUAUGUCAACAAAGAAGUUAGUACACUUUUUGGUUUUAAGACAAAACUUCAGCGUGAAAAUAUGGUAAUGCGUUGGAGUAGGAAACGUAGAGAUCGAGUCGAUGAAUUACUUGCGCGGGAAGCACAAGCUGAAGAGGAUGAGUGGACCAAGUUUCACUGUGAUGAAUUAGCCGUAAAAAAUGAGCUCACUGUAGCAAUACUGGAUAGUCUAGUCUUAGAUACAGUGAAUGUAGUUAAGACUGCUUUUACAAAAAGAUCAAAACUUACAGUCUAGCAGUUGCAUCACACCGGCUAUGCUCGAUGUUAAUCAAUAUAAAGGUAUGCAGACGAUCCAACUUCUAUCAAUUCUGCCAAGCUUGUUCCAUGUCACAACAUUUGUAGCAAACAAACAAGGAAAUACUUGGCGUCCAUCGCAAAUUGAACGGCGAAACGCUUUCUUGUGGCAAGUUGAAAGUCGCGACGAAUUGAAAAAUGAAAUUCAACGUCGCAGAGACCAACUAAAAAAACUGAAACUAACUCUGCAACCACAGGCCUUGAUAAUUGGACAUUCCAAAAGCGUCGUCAAACAGCAGUAUUUGGUGUGGAAUGUCAAUUUUGAUUUCACAAUAUUUUUCUUGUUCUUUUGUUUGAAAGUAAUUUGCGACUACUUUAUGGAAAUGAUAGGGUUUUUGCUCCUUUAAUUAAAGAGGUAAAUUUUCUAGCCAAAAAUGGUAUAAUAGUAAAAAAUCAAAAUGGAGAAACAAGAAAAAUAUACUUUCCAACUGAAUUCGGCACUGGCGACAAUUUAGGCCUUAAUGCAAUUUUUGACUUCGUGGAAAGUUUCAACGUACUCCAUUAUUGCAGAUUUUGCAGAAAUUCAAAGAAAAAAACAUUCAUAAUUUUCACGUGACUCGAAAUUCGGCAUUACAAUGUAUGCACGAUUUUGCUGAGGGAGUUGGACAUAGUGACAUGAUUCCAAUUAUCAAUCACUGCAUUAAGUGUAAAUACUUCGAUCUUGAGAAAUUGAAUGACAGAAUUGCAAAUUUUAAUUAUGGGCCAGUCGAUGUUUCGUCAAAGCCUCCUGUAAUUGUAGAAAAUCUUCUAAAGAGUUCACAUCUUAAAAUGUAUACCUUUCAAAUGUUAUGCUUCAUAAAGUAUUUUGGCCUUUUAUUUGGAGACUUAGUAUCUAUUGAAGAUACUUUUUGGCAACUUUAUAAACUAUUACGCAGAAUACUCAGCAUUGGCUUGGCAAAGACCAUAAAAAAAAAUCACUAUAAAG